UAUAUUCAUAUACCCAAUUUGAGCAUCGUAUGAAGAAUUAAUUACCUAGUUUGGUUUAGGUGCGUUAAUAGUGCGUUAAAUGACGUUUUUAGUUAUUUCACUUCUAGGUGGGACUUAUAACGAGGACGAGCACAUCCAGGGGCGUCAAGGGGGUUACGACCCGGCGACAUACCAGUUCUAGUUGAUAGUUGAGGCGUUGGUGGCCUACGAGGACUGCUUCGGUGUUCUGACAGACUAAAUAAAU
Non-coding RNA from Malus domestica (apple), 244 nucleotides. Lineage: Eukaryota; Viridiplantae; Streptophyta; Magnoliopsida; Rosales; Rosaceae. The record is from RefSeq and is a predicted model, not a curated record.